This 417-nucleotide long non-coding RNA is filed under the name Equus caballus (horse). RNAcentral's name for it is "lncRNA (ENSECAG00000053182.1)". The record is from RNAcentral. Lineage: Eukaryota; Metazoa; Chordata; Mammalia; Perissodactyla; Equidae.
GAAAGCACAUGUGAAGUGCCUAGCACAGUUCCUGGCACAAUUUGGCGACUUGGACAGGAUAAAAUUUCACUGGCUGGACGCUGCUCGCUCCUGGACCGCUGCAGCUGAGAGAUCCUGGACCUCUGACAAGAGCCGGCAAGAGAAUGGGACACUGAAGCAUCAGAAACGGUAGCUCUCUUGUUCAAGGGCACCUCAUUUCCCAGGACCUCAGAGGGUGUGACAAAUCUAGUGUCCCUGUGAUAUUUGACUUCUUCCUCUCAAGGGAGAGAAACUGAGGCAAAAGAUCUGGAGUGAGUCAAUCAAGUGGUUAAAAAGAAGAUGCUGAAACUGAUGACAGAACAAAAUGAGGACACAGCUCUCCAAGUACUGCAUUUCUACUCCAGUUAAUGAUGUCUGUACUGCCAAAAAGAACUAAUA